UACCAGCACCCCGAGUGGUCGGGACGUUUAUUGGGCCUAAAGCAUCCGUAGCCGGUUCUACAAGUCUUCCGUUAAAUCCAACUGCUUAACAGGUGGGCUGCGGAAGAUACUUUAGAGCUAGGAGGCGGGAGAGGCAAGCGGUACUCGAUGGGUAGGGGUAAAAUCCGUUGAUCCAUUGAAGACCACCAGUGGCGAAGGCGGCUUGCCAGAACGCGCUCGACGGUGAGGGAUGAAAGCUGGGGGAGCAAACCGG
Molecule: ribosomal RNA, 253 nt
Filed under: uncultured bacterium
Lineage: Bacteria
Description: partial 16S ribosomal RNA
Rfam family: Archaeal small subunit ribosomal RNA
Source: RNAcentral